This 762-nucleotide long non-coding RNA is filed under the name Amborella trichopoda. Its description in RNAcentral is "long non-coding RNA (ATRI_LNC004413)". Lineage: Eukaryota; Viridiplantae; Streptophyta; Magnoliopsida; Amborellales; Amborellaceae. The record is from RNAcentral.
UAUGAACUUGGGUCAUCCUGACUAUGAGCCUUUUGGCUUAUAGAAUUAUUAUCCAAAUAUUAUUACUUUGACGUUGAACCUGCUAACUCCGUUUGCCCCUUAACCAACUUUUGCACUUUAACCAACUUUUGCACUCUGCAUCAAGAGGAGGUAAUCCCAUACAACAUGAUUUUGCCCUGGAUCCCAUCCAAAACUCCACUAGGGUGCCAAGGGCUGCAAUUGAUCAUCUUAACCUAAAGAUAUAUAGAUAUAAAAAAAGGAAAAAAGGAAAAAAAAAUUCAAAUCCUAAAAAUAGUGCAUGUUAUUAUAACAAAUUAUCUGAACGAUCUAUUUUUAAGAUUUUCAAAUGUUCUUAGAUCUACUCGAUCUACAACAUUUUUUAAAUUUUAAAUUUUAUAACAAGUAAAAAUAGAUUUUCAAGCCAUCAUAAGGUUUCCGAAUCUACAAGGAAAUCUACUGGCAAAAUUUAAAGGUACCUUACUUCUGCAGUACAAGGAGGGCACCUUAUGCAAAUCCCACCCUGAAAAAUAUAGCCCGAAAGCAUAUCACUAAUUCUCCCAGCUCAGCCUGCCUAGGAUUGCCCAAAUCCGGUAACCAUGGACCAGUUAUAAACUUGAACUAAAAACUGAAGACACAACAUAAAAUGAAAUUUUCAUGAAUAGAAACCGAAGGUUAACCUGAAGAGACAAUAUGCAAUGUAAUCUUUUGUGAAGAUUUUCAAUCACAAAAACACCCGUGCACUUCAUUCACACCUGAAAGAAG